This 375-nucleotide ribosomal RNA is filed under the name uncultured eukaryote. Its description in RNAcentral is "SSU rRNA". It matches the Rfam family "Eukaryotic small subunit ribosomal RNA", at positions 587 to 972 of the family's 1831-position model. The record is from RNAcentral.
AGCUCCAAUAGCGUAUAUUAAAGUUGUUGCAGUUAAAAAGCUCGUAGUUGGAUUUGUGGUUGUCCCUGUGGCCCCUACUUUUGGGUGCUGCAGGGUCGUCCAUCCUUGAGUGGAACCUGUAUGGCAUUAAGUUGUCGUGCAGGGGAUGCUCAUCGUGUACUGUGAAAAAAUUAGAGUGUUCAAAGCAGGCUUAUGCCGUUGAAUAUAUUAGCAUGGAAUAAUGAGAUAGGACCUUGGUACUAUUUUGUUGGUUUGCGCACCGAGGUAAUGAUUAAUAGGGACAGUUGGGGGUAUUCGUAUUCCAUUGUCAGAGGUGAAAUUCUUGGAUUUCUGGAAGACGAACUACUGCGAAAGCAUUUACCAAGGAUGUUUUCA